RNAcentral lists this ribosomal RNA (463 nucleotides) under Enterococcus durans. RNAcentral's name for it is "bacterial SSU rRNA". It matches the Rfam family "Bacterial small subunit ribosomal RNA", at positions 62 to 496 of the family's 1533-position model. Lineage: Bacteria; Bacillati; Bacillota; Bacilli; Lactobacillales; Enterococcaceae. The record is from RNAcentral.
UCGUACGCUUCUUUUUCCACCGGAGCUUGCUCCACCGGAAAAAGAAGAGUGGCGAACGGGUGAGUAACACGUGGGUAACCUGCCCAUCANAAGGGGAUAACACUUGGAAACAGGUGCUAAUACCGUAUAACAAUCGAAACCGCAUGGUUUUGAUUUGAAAGGCGCUUUCGGGUGUCGCUGAUGGAUGGACCCGCGGUGCAUUANCUAGUUGGUGAGGUAACGGCUCACCAAGGCCACGAUGCAUAGCCGACCUGAGAGGGUGAUCGGCCACAUUGGGACUGAGACACGGCCCAAACUCCUACGGGAGGCAGCAGUAGGGAAUCUUCGGCAAUGGACGAAAGUCUGACCGAGCAACGCCGCGUGAGUGAAGAAGGUUUUCGGAUCGUAAAACUCUGUUGUUAGAGAAGAACAAGGAUGAGAGUAACUGUUCAUCCCUUGACGGUAUCUAACCANAAAGCCACGG